This is a transfer RNA of Neonectria ditissima, 103 nucleotides long. It matches the Rfam family "tRNA". From Rfam's summary of the family: Transfer RNA (tRNA) molecules are approximately 80 nucleotides in length. Their secondary structure includes four short double-helical elements and three loops (D, anti-codon, and T loops). The record is from Rfam. NCBI's taxonomy places the organism in Eukaryota, Fungi, Ascomycota, Sordariomycetes, Hypocreales, Nectriaceae.
GGACAGAUGGCCGAGCGGUUAUGGCGCUGUGUUCAGGUGUUAUCACACACAUGUACGAUUCGCAGUUCCGAAAGGAGCGUGGGUUCGAGUCCCACUCUGUUCA